This 253-nucleotide long non-coding RNA is filed under the name Ricinus communis (castor bean). RNAcentral's name for it is "long non-coding RNA (RCOM_LNC001377)". The record is from RNAcentral. Lineage: Eukaryota; Viridiplantae; Streptophyta; Magnoliopsida; Malpighiales; Euphorbiaceae.
GAUACCAUCCACCCCGUUGGUGGGCCUAUUGUUGGCAAGUACUGCAGGUGUAGGUGGUGUUGUUGGAGUGACACGAGUUACUUAAUAUUUUGUAGUCAAAGCUUGUAGUGCUUCUGCUUAUUGUCCUAUCAUGUCCAUCAAAUUCCACAUUUGGGUCUUGACACUUUCCAUAUUAAUAUAGACUGCUCCUAACUCUGUGUUAUAGGAUGCUUCUAGAUAACUUUCCAUUUUAGUGCUUUCUUGUUUGAUUAAC